CAACUUUCAACAACGGAUCUCUUGGCUCUCGCAUCGAUGAAGAACGCAGCGAAAUGCGAUAAGUAAUGUG
Molecule: ribosomal RNA, 70 nt
Filed under: Pleurotus ostreatus (oyster mushroom)
Lineage: Eukaryota; Fungi; Basidiomycota; Agaricomycetes; Agaricales; Pleurotaceae
Description: partial 5.8S ribosomal RNA
Rfam family: 5.8S ribosomal RNA
About the family: 5.8S ribosomal RNA (5.8S rRNA) is a component of the large subunit of the eukaryotic ribosome. It is transcribed by RNA polymerase I as part of the 45S precursor that also contains 18S and 28S rRNA.
Source: RNAcentral